This 497-nucleotide ribosomal RNA is filed under the name uncultured bacterium. Its description in RNAcentral is "partial 16S ribosomal RNA". It matches the Rfam family "Bacterial small subunit ribosomal RNA", at positions 28 to 507 of the family's 1533-position model. The record is from RNAcentral.
GAUGAACGCUGGCGGCGUGCCUAAUACAUGCAAGUCGAGCGAACAGACGAGGAGCUUGCUCCUCUCACGUUAGCGGCGGACGGGUGUGUAACACGUGGAUAACCUACUUAUAUGACUGGGAUAACUUCGGGAAACCGGAGCUAAUACCGGAUAAUAUAUUGAACCGCAUGGUUCAAUAGUGAAAGACGGUUGUGCUGUCACUUAUAGAUGGAUAUGCGCCGCUUUAGCUAGUUGGUAGGGUAACGGCUUACCAAGGCAACGAUGCGUAGCCGACCUGAGUGGGUGAUAGGCGACACUGGAACUGAAACACGGACCAGACUCCUACGGGAGGCAGCAGUCGGGAAUGUUCCGCAAUGGGCGAGAGCUUGACGGAGCAGCGCCGCGUGAGUGAUGAAGGUGUUCGGAUCGUAAAACUCUGUUUUGAGGUAAGAACCAAUGUGUACGUAAAUAUGCAGGGCUUGACGGUACCUGAUCAGGAAGCACCGGCUAACUACGUG